This 699-nucleotide long non-coding RNA is filed under the name Marmota monax (woodchuck). Lineage: Eukaryota; Metazoa; Chordata; Mammalia; Rodentia; Sciuridae. The record is from RNAcentral.
CACUGCUCAUCUUCAGACACGAUGCCCACCAUAUACCUGCUUGCCUGGGACAAAGGCAUUAAGCUCUUGUCCCCCCCUUUCCCCAGCAUCCUACCUCCGAUCCAGCCAAACCUAAAGCUGCCUGCGAAGUGAACAAAACUCGGCCUCUUCUCCCUGGUCUGCAGCUUCUGCCAUAGCCCAGACCCCUAGGCUGUAGCAAUGGUUUCCCCUCCGCCCCCCAUGAUUUAAUCCCUUGUAGCAGCCAGACAAAUGUUUUAGAAUGUCAGCUAGUACCAUGCCUUAUCUUCCUGUCUCACUUAGAAAAGUCCAGAGUUGUUCCUACCAACCUGCAUGCUGACCAUGCGCCAGCCCUCUAGCCUGGUGUCCUCCGGCGCACCUUGAGUCUGGCACAUUGCUGCCACAGGGGCCCUGUAUGCUGCGCCCUCUGCCAGGAAGGAGCCUCCCCCCACCCUCAGUCUUGCCCCUCACUUUUUUCAGAACUGGGCUAGAAAGGCAGGUCCUCAGAGCCCCUUCCUGAGUGCCCACACCCAUCACUCCCGCCCCAUGCCCUGGGUUAACUUUCUCACAGCAUGUGGCAGUGACACUUCCCCUAGGACGCUAGCUCCCUGCAGAUAGGGCCCUCCUGUCUGUCCACCACUGGAUCCCUAGUUCCUAGAACAGGGCCUGAGAUUGUGAACCACCUUUUGCUGGAUAACAGCU